This 1063-nucleotide ribosomal RNA is filed under the name uncultured Bacteroidales bacterium. RNAcentral's name for it is "bacterial SSU rRNA". It matches the Rfam family "Bacterial small subunit ribosomal RNA", at positions 32 to 1087 of the family's 1533-position model. The record is from RNAcentral. Lineage: Bacteria; Pseudomonadati; Bacteroidota; Bacteroidia; Bacteroidales.
AACGCUAGCUACAGGCUUAACACAUGCAAGUCGAGGGGCAACAUGAUUUUAGCUUGCUAAGAUUGAUGGCGACCGGCGCACGGGUGAGUAACGCGUAUGUAACUUGCCUACCAGAGGGGGAUAGCCCGGCGAAAGUCGGAUUAAUACCGCAUAAAACAGGGGUUCCGCAUGGAAAUAUUUGUUAAAGGAUUACCGCUGGUAGAUAGGCAUGCGUUCCAUUAGAUAGUUGGUGAGGUAACGGCUCACCAAGUCGACGAUGGAUAGGGGUUCUGAGAGGAAGGUCCCCCACAUUGGUACUGAGACACGGACCAAACUCCUACGGGAGGCAGCAGUGAGGAAUAUUGGUCAAUGGGCGAGAGCCUGAACCAGCCAAGUCGCGUGAAGGAUGAAGGAUCUAUGGUUUGUAAACUUCUUUUAUACGGGAAUAAAGUGUGGUACGUGUACCAUUUUGUAUGUACCGUAUGAAUAAGCAUCGGCUAACUCCGUGCCAGCAGCCGCGGUAAUACGGAGGAUGCGAGCGUUAUCCGGAUUUAUUGGGUUUAAAGGGUGCGUAGGUGGCUUUUUAAGUCAGUGGUGAAAGUUUGUGGCUCAACCAUAAAAUUGCCAUUGAAACUGGAGAGCUUGAGUGUGUUUGAGGUAGGCGGAAUGCGUGGUGUAGCGGUGAAAUGCAUAGAUAUCACGCAGAACUCCGAUUGCGAAGGCAGCUUACUAAGCCAUAACUGACACUGAAGCACGAAAGCGUGGGGAUCAAACAGGAUUAGAUACCCUGGUAGUCCACGCAGUAAACGAUGAUUACUAGGAGUUUGCGAUAGACAGUAAGCUCUACAGCGAAAGCGUUAAGUAAUCCACCUGGGGAGUACGCCGGCAACGGUGAAACUCAAAGGAAUUGACGGGGGCCCGCACAAGCGGAGGAACAUGUGGUUUAAUUCGAUGAUACGCGAGGAACCUUACCCGGGUUUGAACGUAGUUUGACAGGGGUGGAAACACCUUUUCUAGCAAUAGCAAAUUACGAGGUGCUGCAUGGUUGUCGUCAGCUCGUGCCGUGAGGUGUCGGCUUAAGUGC